CCCCUGCCCCUGCCCCUGCCCCGCCGGGCCGGUCCCGCCGCUCUUCCCUCGGCCCUGACAGGUAUUGCGUUGUUCCAGUCUCCCAUGAUUCCCCCUCAAGUUUGAUUCACCAGACGAGGUUCUGCUUUUUUAUCUUCUUGCUAUAAGACUUUGGGUAGGAUUUCGCAGCUGUGAAUGAGAGCUAGACCUAUUGAGACACUGCACUUCUGGCAAACACAUUUAAAACUUAAUCAAAUAAGGUACCCAUGAAAACAAAGCAAAUUUUAAAUCAAAUAUAUUCAUAUCUGCGUCGGGUGAGGACAACCCCAGUCUUGGCCAGUGAUCAUCCAGGUAAGGAACUUGGCCAAUUCACCUUUCUGCAUCUCAGGUACCUGGAUUUCAUUCCCACAGAAGGCAAAUGAAAAAUUCCUAACUGGUGAGUGGCUAAAUGUACCCCCAGACUGGCAGCAGGGCAUGGAUAGACUGUCUGACCAGACACAGGACCUCAGACACAACCCUGGUGCCCACCAGUAUAGAUGUCGUCAUAUUUUCUAAAAUUAUUUCAAUUCAGCUAGGCAAAAGAAAAUUUUAUAAUCAGAUUCUUCCACAAAAUUUCACGGUCCUGCAAUAACUUUUGAUGUUAGCUCUCACUUGAAACAGUUCAGAAAGAAAUCUAUUUUUUAAGAGGGCACAUCCCAAUAUUCUGACUUUCCGUUUACUUUCUGUACGUAAGCCCAGUAACUGGUAAUUUCAUUCUAUUUUCAGCUGUUUACACAUCUAUUUACUUCUAAUGGAAGCAUUGAGUUAAUAUAUUUCACAUUUGUACAUUAUUACUUAACCGAUCUUGUCAGAAUUACAGUGAAUCCCUAAGACAUAAUUUUAUACAAACAAUAAAUAAUUUUAUCUAAAGAGUCUUGAAAAACAGCCUGCUUACAAGGCACUAAUUCUCAUUCCCACUGAGAAACCAUGCAGUAUGAAAUCAGUACUUUGGGAGUUUAAAUUGCAAAAUUAAUCAUACCACCAUAAGUGUCAGAAAUGAAAUAGCAAUGACUGAAAUUCCUAAACUUAGUUCUUGAGAUUUGCACAAAUCUCCAGAUCUCCAUUGCUGAAGUUUUGUUUCCUCAGACUGUAUUUUGGAAUUUUCACCAGGAAGAUUUCUCUUGCGUAGGACAUGUGGGCUGUUCAGGUGAGAAUAACCAAAGACUAAAAAGGGAUUAUUCCUGAAGAUCCCACGGUUCCCAGACAAUUCAGCAAAAGCACAUGAUCACUUUGUUUCUCCACAUGCAGCCCAUCAGUGACACAGACCAGCAGCAAUACAGGCCUACAAAAAUCAAACUUUCAACCAUGACUGCUGUUACUGUACACCACAGAUUUCUGCACAAGUACAAUGCUAACAGGAGGGGUGUAAUUAGUGCAUCUUUAAAAGAGCAAAAUAACCUAUCUGUAGUAGCUUGAUUUGGAAAAAUGGGACAUUGAGCUGAAAGACCCAUGGUAAAUUGCCUCUAAAGCAUAAUUAAAGUUGUUUGUAUUCUA
Long non-coding RNA from Vidua macroura (Pin-tailed whydah), 1512 nucleotides. RefSeq lists it as uncharacterized. The record is from RefSeq and is a predicted model, not a curated record. Lineage: Eukaryota; Metazoa; Chordata; Aves; Passeriformes; Viduidae. The transcript is spliced from 2 exons.